GGGCCCGCACAAGCAGCGGAGCAUGUGGUUUAAUUCGAAGCAACGCGAAGAACCUUACCAGGUCUUGACAUCCAGGUAAAGCUGCAGAGAUGCAGUGUGUGCUUGCACAAUCUGAGACAGGUGGUGCAUGGUUGUCGUCAGCUCGUGUCGUGAGAUGUUGGGUUAAGUCCCGCAACGAGCGCAACCCUUGCCGGCAGUUACUAACAGGUGAAGCUGAGGACUCUGCUGGGACCGCCGGGGACAACUCGGAGGAAGGUGGGGACGACGUCAAAUCAUCAUGCCCCUUAUGACCUGGGCUACACACGUGCUACAAUGGCCGAGACAGAGAGCAGCGAGGGCGCAAGCCGGAGCGAAUCUCAAAAAAGCGGUCACAGUUCGGAUUGUGGGCUGCAACCCGCCCACAUGAAGCAGGAGUUGCUAGUAAUCGCGAAUCAGCAUGUCGCGGUGAAUACGUUCCCGGGCCUU
This 465-nucleotide ribosomal RNA is filed under the name uncultured bacterium. Its description in RNAcentral is "bacterial SSU rRNA". It matches the Rfam family "Bacterial small subunit ribosomal RNA", at positions 917 to 1382 of the family's 1533-position model. The record is from RNAcentral.